This 1292-nucleotide long non-coding RNA is filed under the name Brachypodium distachyon (stiff brome). RNAcentral's name for it is "long non-coding RNA (BDIS_LNC001456)". Lineage: Eukaryota; Viridiplantae; Streptophyta; Magnoliopsida; Poales; Poaceae. The record is from RNAcentral.
AACUAACAGCAGGAAGAAGUGGUGGGAGGCGCCAAGCAGAGCAACAACAGACAAGGCUGGGAGUACUGUGGCGGUGUGGCCUGGCCGCCUAGAGGAUUUGGGGAAUGAGAGGCUCAUGUGAGGGAUUACACAAUGUAGGUACGGAACUAUAUCCCUCAGAACCUCCGUAGUGGCACCAGGCACAGCUGGAGGCAGUGCAAGGAUGCGUGCGGAGGGGCGGAGGUGCUGUUGGGCGAGUGCGGCAUAGGGGCACUAGCGGAGGGCGGUGCAGGGAGUGCGUAGGAGGGGUGGAGGUGGUGCAGAGGGCGUGCGGCGGAGGAGCGGAGGAGGUGCAGGGCCACGAGCGGAGGUGGUGUCAUGGGGUGCUGGCGGAGUUGGAGUCCAAGGAUUUGAUGGGAAAGUGAGGUUGGGGAAGAAAAAGAGAUAAGGGAAAUAAGUAAUUAAUUCAUUCUUUGUGGGUCCCAUUUACGUGCAAAGUUGUGCAUGAAAAUUAAAAUUUAGCAUCAAUGCCAAAUUGGAUCUAUGUGACAAAUUUGGCUUUUUGCACGCCGUGGAAGUCCUUAGGUAUACAAAUCUCAUAUCUUCGAUUUUAGAAUUAAAAAUACGAUGAAUAGAUACGUAUCGGACAAAAUCCAGUAUCAGUGAAUUAUACUCACUCCAUCCGGAUUUAUAAGACCUGCAUUGAAUUUUGUGCCAAACUUUGACGAACAAUUAUACAAAAAGAUGUAGGUAUAUAAACAUAUACUAUUGAUUGAGUUUUUCAAUACGAAUACAAUGAUAUUUCUUUUGUGUCGCAAUAACAUCAUAUUACAAAGUAAUGUUUCGCCAAAGUCACUUAUAAAAUCUCGAGCGGGCCUUAUAAACACGGCCAGAGGGAGUAUACCAGUAUGGUAGGGAAUAAAAAAAAGAUACAAAAUGAAAAAACAUUAGCACACUUAAAAAAAAAUACAAGAACGAUCGUCAGGUCUAGCCCGCGCGGGCCACCAGGUAGAAAGAAAGCAAGCAUUAAUUACCUAGCACGAAUGCUUUAUUUCCAUGUACAGCAGUAGUACAAACAAGCAAGGCUAAACAGGGAGAGAAUAGUUUUUUGAAGUCCGUAGCACAGCAAAUACUACACUCUGGCAAUGGGUAAAUGAGGUGGACAAUUAAUAAUCCAGAUCAACCUGUGAUCACCUUCAAAUUCUCUCGGCUAUAUAUGCCCAAGGCAAAUCCCUGUCGACGUUCACCAAAUCGCCCCCAACUCGAUCGAGCUUCAAUUCCAGAGAGACAGAGUACAGUAACGUACGCGCGCA